GUUCCGGGGAGUAUGUCGCAAGCUGAAAACUUAAGGAAAUGACGGAUAGGCACCACCAUGGGGGGAACGAUGAAGUGGAGCCUGCGCGUAAUGACUCAAACGGGAAAUUACCAGGUCCAGACAAGUAAAGGAUGACAGACCUGAGAGCUCUUCUUGAUCUAAUGGGUGUGGGUGCAUGCCGUCUCUAAGUUGGUGGAGCGAUUGUCGGUUAAU
This 213-nucleotide long non-coding RNA is filed under the name Helianthus annuus (common sunflower). It matches the Rfam family "Eukaryotic small subunit ribosomal RNA", at positions 1111 to 1323 of the family's 1831-position model. Lineage: Eukaryota; Viridiplantae; Streptophyta; Magnoliopsida; Asterales; Asteraceae. The record is from RNAcentral.